Molecule: long non-coding RNA, 368 nt
Filed under: Androctonus crassicauda
Lineage: Eukaryota; Metazoa; Arthropoda; Arachnida; Scorpiones; Buthidae
Source: RNAcentral
GCUCGUUAUUCAUUGUUUCAUCAGUGUGUAACAGACCUCAAUUGUUGCCGCUGUUCCUGAUUAUAACUUUACAGUACAUACAGUAUUCAUAAAUUGUUCUUGGUGUAUGCUUAAUGUUUUUUAAGCGUACUACAGUGAAGAUUUCAAAAUGGGUGAUAAAUGAAAAAAAUUGUAGUGACUAUGGAGGAGAAAUUACGCGCUAUACAGCGACUAGAUUCUGGUGUAAUAGCAAAAAAUAUGAUUUUGGAGUUAAGAGUUGGGAAAAGUAUAGUGAGGGACUGGAAAAAAAUCGAGCAGAAAUUGAAAAGUGGUGUGCUGCACAAGCUAGUGGAAGUGAAAUAAAACUAAGAAAAACCAUGCUGAAAGGU